UUCAUAUUGACUAUGAACGGAUUAUGAACUAGUUUAAAGCACACGACUGAGAGAGCAUAAUAUAAUAAUUUGAAAAAAUACAACAUGUGUUACAAAGAUCUCGCAAGUCACAACUCUGCUUAAGAUUGUGAAUUUACGUGGAUUAUCAUCCCAAUCUUGCGGUCUCCUACCUCCAGAAUAUAGUGCACGUGCAAUGUUGAUAAAAGACAGAGUAAGACGAAGUGUGACGUCAUGUCUAUGUGUUGACGUACGUCAAGAUACGACUGUGACAGAGGAGUUCGUUUUAUGCAACAAAAUAGAAGCAAUAUUAAAAUAUGGCGUGAAAGAAGUCCAAUCUUACCAGGAAUAGGUCGGAAAGUGGGCUCGCAAAACUGAAACUUAUAAUGUACAAACUUUUACAUAAAUAUAAAAUAAACUUAUCAACAAUCAUGGUAUUGUUGUGGAUUUUUUUUUCAGAUCAGGGUCUUUUUAAAGCAAAAAACAAAACACAACAACAAAACACAACAUGUGAACAGGCACAAAAAGCCAUGCAUGGGAUAAUCAGAAAAAUAAGGCAACUCACCAGUUGAUUUAUUUGAUAAGAUUGUAGUUCCAGUGUUACUUUAUAUGGAUGUAAAGUUUUGGGUAAAGAAAACAUAGAUAUUAUUGAACGUGUACAUUUAGAAUUCUUAGAAGUAUAUUUUAACUUACCCUUUGUAUAUCAAUAUACGAGUUCAUGUAUAUACAAGAAAGGUAUCUUACUGGGUAAAAUUGUUUAAAUGCCCAGAAAAUAAAAUUGUAUUUGUUCUGUAAAGGUAUUUAUUUAUGCAUCACAAUAGUAGACACAUGUCAAACUCUUGGAUCCCGUGUAUUAAGAAAAUAUUAGACAUGAGUGGGUUCUCUAUUAUCUGGUCUGAAUAAGAUAUCGUAAAUGUAUCCAUUGUAAUGCAAAGGUUUACAAGAGCAAUUUAUUAAAACAUGAUUUAGUGAUAUAAACGAGUCAUCAAAAGGCCAGAUAUACAGAAUAUUUCGAACAUCAAAUCAUCAUCUCUCAGUGUAGACUGGGAGACGGUACAAUAUCCCUCUCAAUGAAAGAAUAUGUAAAUUAUGUAACUCAGGACACAUUGCUGAUAAAUUUCACUAUAUUCUUGAAUGUAAAGAAUUAACGAAUUUAAGAGAGAAAUAUUUAAAUGCUAGAUAUUGUACAUCACCAAAUGUCACCAAGUUUUGCCAACUUAUGUCGAAUACUAACUUUACAACAUUAAAAGAUCUAUGUAUGUUUAUUUUAAGAAUAUAUGAUAUAGUCGGAUAGCUAGACUUGAUCAAGUCUCUAUGUUGUUUUUAUUACAGUAUCAUUUUAUCCAAAUUUUACUGUGUUUCUCUGCUCUCUACCAUACUUAAUGUCACCAAACAUAGUUUCGGUCUAUAAAUUACUGACGUGCAUAUACAAAACAAAGAUGGCGAAAGUGAACAAAGAAAGUGGGGUUGAAUUACACAUAAAACCUAAAAGCUCAACACGUCAAAUUCCGGAAAAAUUGUUAAUAGAAUACCGGGUAGUUGUACAAUAAUUAAUCGAGAAGGCAUAAAUUACUUUAUGUUGCACAUAAAUACAAUUAUACCUUCCUCUUUAUGUCUACCUUAUGUUUUCCUCCCUAAACAUCUCCAUGAGUCUACUCUGCUAUGUUUUUUGCUAAGUUUUACUAAAUAAGUACUAAGUCAGAUUGUGUUGAAAUUAGCAUUUAUUACAAAUGCCAAACAGAAUCACAAUAUUCAAAAUAUAAAUGUCACACUUGUUGGAAUUAAAGUAACAUUUAUCUUAUUUAGACUAACAAAUCACACAAUUAUGGAUAUGAAAACAUAAACAAUAUGAUAAUGGAGUACAAAUGGCAAAAAAGAUGGAGCUAUUCGGCAUAAAACAGGCCACCAACUUGACCAUAUCUAAAAAUGUGGGCAAGUGCCCCAUCCAGAGGAGACGAAAUGGAAAUACAGUUCCAACAUCUAACAAAUGAUUUAAUUGAAAAAAUAUACUCUAUAAUGUACAAAGAAAUCUGAAUUAGUGUUCUUCAACUUCAAACACAAAAAAUAACCUGUUGGAGAGUGCUGCCUCAUUCAGUCACUCAAUUAAUUGCAUAACAAGACCCUAACAAUGUACAAUCUGAAUAUAUGUGUAGAUUAAGAGAUGGCAUGUAUGGUCCAUUAUGUUUGGCAUUAUCAAAAGUAUUAAAGAGAGCACUGAUUAUUAAACAUAGAGACUUGAGCAAGUCUAUCGGAUAGCCUCCCAUGUUUCUUUCCAUUAUACCAUAUUUUGUAUAUUGUAUAUUUAAGUCUACAGAUUAUCUCUUUAAUAUAUAACCUCUGACAAGUGUAUAGUUGUAAUGAUGUGUAUGUUUCUCAUGUACCAUUAUAGGGUUUGAGUGAAUAAACUGAACUUGAACACAA
Long non-coding RNA from Ostrea edulis (European flat oyster), 2418 nucleotides. RefSeq lists it as uncharacterized. The record is from RefSeq and is a predicted model, not a curated record. NCBI's taxonomy places the organism in Eukaryota, Metazoa, Mollusca, Bivalvia, Ostreida, Ostreidae. The transcript has 2 exons.